This 468-nucleotide ribosomal RNA is filed under the name uncultured bacterium. Its description in RNAcentral is "partial 16S ribosomal RNA". It matches the Rfam family "Bacterial small subunit ribosomal RNA", at positions 28 to 507 of the family's 1533-position model. The record is from RNAcentral.
GACGAACGCUGGCGGCGUGCUUAACACAUGCAAGUCGAACGGAAAGGCCCUGCUUUUGUGGGGUGCUCGAGUGGCGAACGGGUGAGUAACACGUGAGUAACCUGCCCUUGACUUUGGGAUAACUUCAGGAAACUGGGGCUAAUACCGGAUAGGAGCUCCUGCCGCAUGGUGGGGGUUGGAAAGUUUCGGCGGUUGGGGAUGGACUCGCGGCUUAUCAGCUUGUUGGUGGGGUAGUGGCUUACCAAGGCUUUGACGGGUAGCCGGCCUGAGAGGGUGACCGGCCACAUUGGGACUGAGAUACGGCCCAGACUCCUACGGGAGGCAGCGGUGGGGAAUAUUGCACAAUGGGCGGAAGCCGGAGGCAGCAACGCCGCGUGCGGGAUGACGGCCUUCGGGUUGUAAACCGCUUUCGCCUGUGACGAAGCGUGAGUGACGGUAAUGGGUAAAGAAGCACCGGCUAACUACGUG